This 376-nucleotide unclassified non-coding RNA is filed under the name soil metagenome. RNAcentral's name for it is "partial contains 5.8S ribosomal RNA, internal transcribed spacer 2, and large subunit ribosomal RNA". The stretch from base 1 to 119 matches the Rfam family "5.8S ribosomal RNA", at positions 35 to 154 of the family's 154-position model. The record is from RNAcentral.
GAUGAAGACGCAGCGAAAUGCGAUAAGUAAUGUGAAUUGCAGAAUUCAGUGAAUCAUCGAAUCUUUGAACGCAUCUUGCGCUCCUUGGUAUUCUGAGGAGCAUGCCUGUUUGAGUGUCAUUAAAUUCUCAACCGCACUGACUUUGAAUUGGUGUGGCUUGGAUUUGGGGGGAAAAUUGUUGUGGGCUUUUUUGUAUAGUCUGCUCCCCUGAAAUUGAUUAGCGGUACCUUUGUGGAACUGUCUACAGGUGUGAUAAUUAUCUACAUCCUAGACAUCUGCUGGAAUGCUGCUUUCUAAACCUUACUUGUAUUGACAAUCUUGACCUCAAAUCAGGUAGGACUACCCGCUGAACUUAAGCAUAUCAAUAAGCGGAGGA